UACGAAGGGGGCUAGCGUUGUUCGGAAUUACUGGGCGUAAAGCGCACGUAGGCGGAUACUUAAGUUAGGGGUGAAAUCCCAGAGCUCAACUCUGGAACUGCCUUUAAUACUGGGUAUCUCGAGUCCGAGAGAGGUGAGUGGAACUCCGAGUGUAGAGGUGAAAUUCGUAGAUAUUCGGAAGAACACCAGUGGCGAAGGCGGCUUUCUGGCCCGUUCUUGACGCUGAGGCGCGAAAGCUAGGGUAGCAAACGGG
This 253-nucleotide ribosomal RNA is filed under the name uncultured bacterium. RNAcentral's name for it is "partial 16S ribosomal RNA". It matches the Rfam family "Bacterial small subunit ribosomal RNA", at positions 524 to 776 of the family's 1533-position model. The record is from RNAcentral.